Long non-coding RNA from Ictalurus punctatus (channel catfish), 1073 nucleotides. The record is from Ensembl. Lineage: Eukaryota; Metazoa; Chordata; Actinopteri; Siluriformes; Ictaluridae.
GUACUCUCAUCUCAUCUUAUCAAUAUAAUAUUUGUGAAAUGAAAUUAAUACUUUUUUUCUAAUUAAAUAAUUUAAGUAAGACGCUUCUCUUUAAAUUAAGAUUCAAAAAAAAACUUUUAUAUCGCGCCUUUAGAAAUGCCUCUCAAAGCACUUUACAUGGGAAACGAAAAUUGAAACAGAAGAAGACGGCAUAAAAGAAGGUAUACAGUAUAAGCAUGCAUCAAUAACAGUUAAUAAUAAAAUACAAUUCAAUAGUAGUAAUAAUAAUUAAAUAAUACAUUUUUAAAAAAUUUAAAAAUUAGAUAAGAUAUAUAUAUUUUUAUAUUUGUCUGGGGAAAAAAAGUGUAUAUAUUUAGAAUAAAUAGUUAUAUUGUUGUACACAUUUGAAUACUGAACCUAAUAUUUUGAGUAGUUGCAUUAUAUUGAUUAUAAAACUGUUCCGAGGGAAACUGCAAUUUAUUUUACAGUUAAAGCGAUCUCUGGCUGCAAAAGCUCUUAAAACCCCUGCGAUAAAUAACAAGCUAAACAAUUCAAGGUAUAGAUAACAAGCUAAAAACUAAAUUACAUAAUCUAUAUGGUGAGUUAAAUAGAUUUUAAUCCAGAACUUUAACCGUAUUUGUGUAGAGGAAAAAGUAAUAUAAAUAAUUUUUGAUUUAUUCAAAUUUAAUUUCCACUCUAAUGAGCAUAUUAUAAUACAGCUACACUAUAAUGCUUUUGAGAGACUCGCCCAGAUCAUUUAACAAAAAAGCAAGGCUGAAUCACACCACACAUUAAAUUCAUGAUUAUUCUGACUGUCAGGAUUAUGAUGAAGAAUGUGGGUUAAAUGUCUUACCAGUGACUCGGACAUGGAUUGAAUUAUUUCCUGAUCCUGUGACAUUCUUUGCGAAAUAUCUUGUAAAUGAGUACACGCAACUGUAGGUACCAGAGUCCAGUAAUGAAAUAUUCCUCAAAGUGAAGGUGUGCUCAUUUUUAUUUACAAGUAGUUUUAAUCUUUCUCCAACACCAUUUGUACACAAAUACAUGUUAACUUCUGUAUUUGAGCUCUGAAUGUUAGAGAUGAGACACUUUAACUC